RNAcentral lists this transfer RNA (68 nucleotides) under Abisara chela. RNAcentral describes it as "tRNA-Leu". The record is from RNAcentral. Lineage: Eukaryota; Metazoa; Arthropoda; Insecta; Lepidoptera; Riodinidae.
UCUAAUAUGACAGAUAAAAUGUAAUGGAUUUAAAACCCAUUUAUAAAGGAAUUUUCCUUUUUUUAGAA